UACUUUGUUGGUUAAUCUUCUUC
RNAcentral lists this non-coding RNA (23 nucleotides) under Arabidopsis thaliana (thale cress). The record is from RNAcentral. Lineage: Eukaryota; Viridiplantae; Streptophyta; Magnoliopsida; Brassicales; Brassicaceae.